AUUUGGAAGCAUACUUAGUAAUGUAUUUUUUCAUACCAUUCUACUAAAAUUGAGGUCUUAAAUUCUGAUACAUUUUAGUACUACCAGAUGGAUGACGAAUUUAAAGUAAUGAGCCUCAAUCAAAAUGCCUUUUUUUAGUUUAUCAUUAUUAGAAACACACACCCUGUCAUGAAAUCUGAGCAACCCAUCAUCAGACACUCUCAACUCUGGCUUCAAACCCUGCUCUGUGUCCUUCUUAAUGACCAAUAAUGUGGAGUCAGUCAACUGGGCAUCUCUGAUAUGUUAAAGUAUUGCAGGUUGGACAUUUAAAUUGGUCAAAUAAACACC
Molecule: long non-coding RNA, 327 nt
Filed under: Carica papaya (papaya)
Lineage: Eukaryota; Viridiplantae; Streptophyta; Magnoliopsida; Brassicales; Caricaceae
Description: long non-coding RNA (CPAP_LNC006744)
Source: RNAcentral